This 262-nucleotide unclassified non-coding RNA is filed under the name uncultured fungus. RNAcentral describes it as "partial contains 5.8S ribosomal RNA, internal transcribed spacer 2, and large subunit ribosomal RNA". The record is from RNAcentral. Lineage: Eukaryota; Fungi.
AACGCACAUUGCGCCCGCUAGUAUUCUGGCGGGCAUGCCUGUUCGAGCGUCAUUUCAACCCUCAAGCUCUGCUUGGUGUUGGGGGGCUGUCCCACGACAGGCGCUACCUCGCGGUAGGCCCCUAAAAUCAGUGGCGGGCUCGUUGACUCCCCGAGUGCAGUAAAGCCCUCACUCCGGGGUGUUAUAGCGGGACCGGCCGUUAAAAUCCCACUAAAUAAUAAAGGUUGACCUCGGAUCAGGUAGGAAUACCCGCUGAACUUAA